This is an RNA transcript of Zootoca vivipara (common lizard), 2627 nucleotides long. It is a transcript of the gene named MYST/Esa1 associated factor 6, with no coding region annotated. The record is from RefSeq and is a predicted model, not a curated record. Lineage: Eukaryota; Metazoa; Chordata; Lepidosauria; Squamata; Lacertidae.
CCAGCGGCUCCGCCCGGCAUCGCGCUCCCGCUCGCCUGCCUGGGUCGGGCCUUCCUCUCGCCUCUCCUCCUGCCGCUCGGUCUCCUCCUUCUCGCGGGCGAUGGCGGCGCUCCACGGGGCGGCCACCAAGGCCGGCGCCCCGCCGCAGAUCCCGGACACCCGUCGCGAGCUGGCCGAGCUGGUCAAGCGGAAGCAGGAGCUGGCCGAGACGCUGGCCAACCUGGAGCGGCAGAUCUACGCCUUCGAGGGCAGCUACCUGGAAGAUACCCAGAUGUACGGCAACAUCAUCCGAGGCUGGGACCGCUACCUGACCAACCAGAAAAACUCUAACAGCAAGAAUGACCGACGGAACCGCAAGUUCAAAGAAGCCGAGCGCCUUUUCAGCAAGUCUUCAGUCACAUCAGCUGCUGCGGUCAGCGCACUGGCAGGAGUUCAGGACCAGCUCAUUGAAAAACGGGAGCCUGGCAGCGGGACAGAGAGCGACACCUCCCCAGACUUCCACAACCAGGAGAAUGAACCGAGCCAAGAAGAAGCGGAAGAGCUGGACGGCUCCGUCCAAGGGGUGAAGCCCCAGAAGGCAGCAUCCUCCACUUCGGGCAGCCACCACAGUAGCCACAAAAAACGGAAGAACAAAAAUCGACACAGGUAUGUAUAUUAGGUUAGGCUGGCAAGUUUUUUAAAAUACAGACAAAAGCGCAUUGGAGGAUUGAUCUCAAAUUGAACAAAAAGCCCCGAGCUGAUUACUAGAUGCCUCCAUGCUGAAUCUUCCAAGAGCCUGUCUGCCUCCCGCCCCAAAUCCCAGUCCGCAUCAGGAGACUGAAUAAGCACAAGGCCAGCUCUUUCCCACCCCAGACUGCCCAGCUCUCCUGGCUCAGCUCAGCUCAGAUGAUGUUGAUGGGGACAAUCUGUGGCAGCGGCGGCAGCAGCAGCUGCUCCUUCUUUCCUUCCUUCCUUCUCAGCUGAUCGGCAACAGACGCCCACCUUGGAUUGGCCAGCCUCACUGAUGCUGUUCCAUCAUGUGUAAAAUAACCAUCAGGAAAUGCUCAUCGAUGUUUCUUCUGGUUGAUUAGAACCCCCUUUUUGUCUCACGGUGUUGCUUUCUCUUUUUUUUUUUAAAGCAAACCUUGAUAUUUAAAUUACAACUUUUUUAAAAAAAAGAAAGAAAAGAAACAGCCCAGCUGUGCUGCCCCCUUGUCUAUGUAGGUCCUCUUCCCUCUUGUUGGAGCCUGACUGUGGUGAUGCUGGAGGAACUACUUCAAAGAGGCAGCAGGUUGGAGCAGGAAAGUGACUUUAUUUAAUUCUCCUGAUGCUUGAGAAGGGAUAAAGGCGGUGGGGGCAGAGUCUCUCUCUCUCUUUUUUAAAAAACACUUCUGUCUUUUGUUUGUAAAUAAAGCCAUCAAACUUCCAUCUCACUGAGCUUGUUUCUGAGCAGGAGGCAUGUCUUACUCUGGGGGUGCGGGGAGACCUAGCUGGCCAGCCAGCCUGGGUCAGGGCCAGAUCCUGCUGCUGGUGGUCUGCAAGGGACCAUUGCAUCAAGACAGGGAAGACCUUUUGCAGCCAAGAGCUCUAGGGAGAGGCAGGCAGCCCUAGCAGGACCACCUGGGCAAGUGCUGGGGAGGGGGGCUCAGGAGGGAGCUCUCUGAUGACUGUGCUGGUGAGUUUUGCUGGCUCACCUGAUUGCGACCGUUCAUGUAUCCAACCUGAAGCACUUGGGAGAGGCCUUCUGAGAUGUGGUGACGCCAGGUGGUCGUGGGAUUGGGCACCACCUUGUUAGCAGGGAGCAAAGGAGCCAGAGACACGGAUUUCCGAAACAAGCACCUGAAAAUUACCUAGUUCUGCUUUCAUCAUUUGGGCUGUUCCAGUUUUGCACUCUGUUGCCACACUUCCCUGAAUUUCAAGGAUUCAAAAUUAUGGGAAUGGUGGAGAAAUUUCUGUGACCGAAGAUACAGGAGCAUCACCUGGGCAGGUGUGUGAAAUGUGUGCAACCACCUUCAUGGAUAAGGCUGCUGUUCGCCUCCCCUCUGGCCCCAACCCUUUUUCUCGCCACUCCUCCCCCUACCAAUCAGCAUUUAAACAAAGGCUCCUCAGACAGAGGAAUCCAGCUAGGAAGUAACCAGCCAAGAGUGCCUUCAGCCUAGAUGUUAAAAGUCAGAUCUUACAACCAAACCUCCCACCAACACCAAGAUAAAUUGCAAGUCGCCUCCCCUUGCCACAUUGGAACCCCUUUAGCAUUUAAAUUUACGUUGCAGUGAAGAUGGCAAGAAAGCCAGUGAAAGGAAAAUAACAAGUUAGGCAAAAUGCACUGGGACACCUGGCUUCUAAGGGGGUUCCUGGAGUUCCCAAGGGAAGUAUUGGGAAUUUCUGAGGCUGGGUCUUGACAUUAGGCAGAGGAAGGCAGCCAACAUAGGCAAAAGAUCAUUGGUGUUAAGUAAAGGCAGCAUAUUUUCAGUUGAUUUAUUAUUACUGUAAUUUUUUUAUUGCAGCCGGGAAGGGGAAUAUCAAUCCUUAUUUAUUUGUAAAAAAUAUUUGUAUACCGUUAUAUCAUCCAAAGUAUAUCAAAGCUGUUUACAAAAAUAAAAACUACCACCCACUUUGGGAACUACUGUAUUAAACUUUUAAAAUACUGA